CAGGGAUUGCCUCAGUAACGGCGAGUGAAGCGGCAACAGCUCAAAUUUGAAAGCUGGCUCCUUUGGGGCCCGCAUUGUAAUUUGUAGAGGAUGCUUCGGGCGCGGCUCCGGUCUAAGUUCUCUGGAACGAGACGUCAUAGAGGGUGAGAAUCCCGUAUGUGACCGGCGGCCUGUGCCCAUGUGAAGCUCCUUCGACGAGUCGAGUUGUUUGGGAAUGCAGCUCAAAAUGGGUGGUGUACUCCAUCUAAAGCUAAAUAUUGGCCAGAGACCGAUAGCGCACAAGUAGAGUGAUCGAAAGAUGAAAAGCACUUUGGAAAGAGAGUUAAACAGUACGUGAAAUUGUUGAAAGGGAAGCGCUUGCAAUCAGACUUGCGCGGCGUCGAUCAGCCUGGGUUCUCCCUGGUGCACUCGGCGCCGCUCAGGCCAGCAUCAGUUUCAGCGGUGGGAUAAAGGCCUAGGGAACGUGGGUCGCCUCGGCGACCGUUAUAGCCCUAGGUGCAAUGCUGCCUGCUGGGACUGAAGACCGCGCUUCGGCUAGGAUGCUGGCGUAAUGGUUGUAAGCGACCCGUCUUGAAACACGGACCAAGGAGUCUAACAUUUAUGCGAGUGUUUGGGUGUUAAACCCAUACNCGUAAUGAAAGUGAACGGAGGUGAGAACCCUUUAGGGUGCAUCAUCGACCGAUCCUGAUGUCUUCGGAUGGAUUUGAGUAANAACAUAACUGUUGGGACCCNAAANAUGGUGAACUAUGCCUAGAUAGGGUGAAGCCANAANAAACUCUGGUGGAGGCUCGCAGCGGUUCUGACAUGCAAAUCGAUCGUUAAAUCUGGGUAUAGGGGCG
RNAcentral lists this ribosomal RNA (839 nucleotides) under Lophodermium pinastri. RNAcentral describes it as "eukaryotic LSU rRNA". It matches the Rfam family "Eukaryotic large subunit ribosomal RNA", at positions 69 to 925 of the family's 3401-position model. The record is from RNAcentral. Lineage: Eukaryota; Fungi; Ascomycota; Leotiomycetes; Rhytismatales; Rhytismataceae.